CGGUAGAGAUUCUUCGGAAUCUUGAGAGCGGCGCACGGGUGCGGAACACGUGUGCAACCUACCUUUAUCUGGGGGAUAGCCUUUCGAAAGGAAGAUUAAUACCCCAUAAUAUAUUGAAUGGCAUCAUUUAAUAUUGAAAACUCCGGUGGAUAGAGAUGGGCACGCGCAAGAUUAGAUAGUUGGUGAGGUAACGGCUCACCAAGUCAAUGAUCUUUAGGGGCCUGAGAGGGUGAUCCCCCACACUGGUACUGAGACACGGACCAGACUCC
RNAcentral lists this ribosomal RNA (269 nucleotides) under uncultured Chryseobacterium sp. RNAcentral describes it as "partial 16S ribosomal RNA". It matches the Rfam family "Bacterial small subunit ribosomal RNA", at positions 67 to 339 of the family's 1533-position model. Lineage: Bacteria; Pseudomonadati; Bacteroidota; Flavobacteriia; Flavobacteriales; Weeksellaceae. The record is from RNAcentral.